GAUGAACGCUGGCGGCGUGCCUAAUACAUGCAAGUCGAGCGAACAGAUGAGGAGCUUGCUCCUCUGACGUUAGCGGCGGACGGGUGAGUAACACGUGGAUAACCUACCUAUAAGACUGGGAUAACUUCGGGAAACCGGCGCUAAUACCGGAUAAUAUAUUGAACCGCAUGGUUCAAUAGUGAAAGACGGUUUUGCUGUCACUUAUAGAUGGAUCCGCGCCGCAUUAGAUAGUUGGUAAGGUCACGGCUUACCAAGGCAACGAUGCGUAGCCGAGCUGUGGGGGUGGUCGGCCACACUGGAACUGAGACACGGUCCAGAGUCCUACGGGAGGCAGCAGUAGGGAAUCUUCCGCAAUGGGCGGAAGCUUGACGGAGCAACGCCGCGUGAGUGAUGAAGAUCUUCGGAUCGUAAAACUCUGUUAUGAGGGAAGAACAAAUGUGUAAGUAACUAUGCACGUCUUGACGGUACCUAAUCAGAAAGCCACGGCUAACUACGUG
RNAcentral lists this ribosomal RNA (497 nucleotides) under uncultured bacterium. Its description in RNAcentral is "partial 16S ribosomal RNA". It matches the Rfam family "Bacterial small subunit ribosomal RNA", at positions 28 to 507 of the family's 1533-position model. The record is from RNAcentral.